GACGAACGCUGGCGGCGUGCCUAAUACAUGCAAGUAGAACGCUGAAGGAGGAGCUUGCUUCUCUGGAUGAGUUGCGAACGGGUGAGUAACGCGUAGGUAACCUGCCUGGUAGCGGGGGAUAACUAUUGGAAACGAUAGCUAAUACCGCAUAAGAGUAGAUGUCGCAUGACAUUUGCUUAAAAGGUGCAAUUGCAUCACUACCAGAUGGACCUGCGUUGUAUUAGCUAGUUGGUGAGGUAACGGCUCACCAAGGCAACGAUACAUAGCCGACCUGAGAGGGUGAUCGGCCACACUGGGACUGAGACACGGCCCAGACUCCUACGGGAGGCAGCAGUAGGGAAUCUUCGGCAAUGGACGGAAGUCUGACCGAGCAACGCCGCGUGAGUGAAGAAGGUUUUCGGAUCGUAAAGCUCUGUUGUAAGAGAAGAGCGAGUGUGAGAGUGGAAAGUUCACACUGUGACGGUAUCUUACCAGAAAGGGACGGCUAACUACGUG
This 495-nucleotide ribosomal RNA is filed under the name uncultured bacterium. Its description in RNAcentral is "partial 16S ribosomal RNA". It matches the Rfam family "Bacterial small subunit ribosomal RNA", at positions 28 to 507 of the family's 1533-position model. The record is from RNAcentral.